GGGAGCGUAGCUCAGAUGGUAGAGCACGCGCUUAGCAUGCGAGAGGUACGGGGAUCGAUGCCCUGCGCCUCCG
Molecule: transfer RNA, 73 nt
Filed under: Trichonephila inaurata madagascariensis
Lineage: Eukaryota; Metazoa; Arthropoda; Arachnida; Araneae; Nephilidae
Rfam family: tRNA
About the family: Transfer RNA (tRNA) molecules are approximately 80 nucleotides in length. Their secondary structure includes four short double-helical elements and three loops (D, anti-codon, and T loops).
Source: Rfam by way of RNAcentral